This 491-nucleotide ribosomal RNA is filed under the name uncultured bacterium. RNAcentral describes it as "partial 16S ribosomal RNA". It matches the Rfam family "Bacterial small subunit ribosomal RNA", at positions 29 to 506 of the family's 1533-position model. The record is from RNAcentral.
AGUGAACGCUGGCGGUAGGCCUAACACAUGCAAGUCGAACGGCAGCACAGUAAGAGCUUGCUCUUACGGGUGGCGAGUGGCGGACGGGUGAGGAAUACAUCGGAAUCUACUUUUUCGUGGGGGAUAACGUAGGGAAACUUACGCUAAUACCGCAUACGACCUACGGGUGAAAGCAGGGGAUCUUCGGACCUUGCGCGAUUGAAUGAGCCGAUGUCGGAUUAGCUAGUUGGCGGGGUAAAGGCCCACCAAGGCGACGAUCCGUAGCUGGUCUGAGAGGAUGAUCAGCCACACUGGAACUGAGACACGGUCCAGACUCCUACGGGAGGCAGCAGUGGGGAAUAUUGGACAAUGGGCGCAAGCCUGAUCCAGCCAUACCGCGUGGGUGAAGAAGGCCUUCGGGUUGUAAAGCCCUUUUGUUGGGAAAGAAAAGCAGCAGGUUAAGACCCCGCUGUUCUGACGGUACCCAAAGAAUAAGCACCGGCUAACCUCGU